CUUCGAGGAAAUGAUGCCACAAAGAAAGAGUGGUGUAUUUGAUAAGCACCCGGAUGGAUUCACUGUGAGCUCCAGCUCCACGAUAACACAAUAUUACCUGGCAUGAACCGGUGUUUUCUUUUCUUUUAAAUGUAUUGUUCGUGAUAGAUAUGACGGAAAUGUUUUCAACUUUGUUCGGGCAAAAUGAUGCUCAGGGACCGCCCGGUUCAUCGCUUGGUUUCGGACCGGGAAAGCCUCCGCCUCCUCUGCCGCAGAAUCAGGUCUCUCUAACGGGGCAGAUGCCACCACAGCACGGGGAUGAAGGGCCUCCUCUGCGAAAGCCCGGAGCCAUGAAUGAACCUUUUUACUUAUUGCGGGAACUACCAGUGGGAACAGAAUUAACAGGCAACACCAACCUCAUCACACACUACAACCUGGAGCACGCCUACAACAAAUUCUGUGGGAAGAAGGUGAAAGAGAAGCUCAGUAAUUUUCUACCAGAGUUACCAGGUAUGAUUGACUGUCCAGGGACGCAGGACGGCAGCUCUUUGCGCUCUCUGAUUGACAAAACUCCAGUGUGUGGAAACUCAUUCAGCCCACUGACAGGCGCUUUACUCACAGGCUUCAGACUACAUACAGGACCGCUUCCAGAACAGUACAGACUGAUGCAUAUACAGCCUCCAAAAAAGAAGAGCAAACACAAGCACAAACACCAUCGAACACAGGACCCACUGCCACAAGAAACUCCUUCAGACUCUGAUCCCAAGAAAAAGAAGAAGAAAAGGGAUGAUGAUCCUGACCGCAAGAAAAAGAAGAAAGACAAGAAGAAGAAGAAGGUAGACCGAGAUCCUUGAAAUAAGGGGAACACUGCCACAUAGUGGCUGAUGCGGUCAAUGGCAUCUAAUCUGCCACAGGACAAUCAGUGGUCGAUUUAGGUAACCGCCACAGUCCUGACCAUCCAGGCCUCGCUGGAUCACAACCCAACAGCAACAGCCUCAGAUAGACCAGGGCCUACUGUGUGCAAGCCUGUGUUUAAAUGUGUGACUUUGCAUUUUGUAAGUGUGUGUGUGCGUGCGUGAGUGUGUGUUUUACACAUAAUUCUAUUAUUGAGAGCAUGUUUAAUAAGCGAGGGCAUGAGUUGAAGGAUGUGAGUGGUUGUGUGAUGUAUGCAAGUGUGUAAAAAAAAAAAAAAAAA
RNA transcript from Cynoglossus semilaevis (tongue sole), 1174 nucleotides. It is a transcript of the gene named mediator complex subunit 19a, with no coding region annotated. The transcript is spliced from 6 exons. The record is from RefSeq and is a predicted model, not a curated record. Lineage: Eukaryota; Metazoa; Chordata; Actinopteri; Pleuronectiformes; Cynoglossidae.